GAGUGAACGCUGGCGGCGUGCUUAACACAUGCAAGUCGAACGAGAACGGACUUAAGCUUGUCUUAAGUUGUCAGCUAAGUGGCGGCACGGGUGAGUAAUGUAUAGUUAACCUGCCCUCUAGAGAGGAAUAACAGUUGGAACGAACUGCUAAUGCCUUAUAUGCCUUUAAGACAGAAGUCUGCAAGGGAAAUGCUUUAGUGUUAGA
This 205-nucleotide ribosomal RNA is filed under the name uncultured Campylobacterota bacterium. Its description in RNAcentral is "uncultured Epsilonproteobacteria bacterium partial 16S ribosomal RNA". It matches the Rfam family "Bacterial small subunit ribosomal RNA", at positions 27 to 222 of the family's 1533-position model. The record is from RNAcentral. Lineage: Bacteria; Pseudomonadati; Campylobacterota.